Long non-coding RNA from Aegilops tauschii subsp. strangulata, 856 nucleotides. RefSeq lists it as uncharacterized. NCBI's taxonomy places the organism in Eukaryota, Viridiplantae, Streptophyta, Magnoliopsida, Poales, Poaceae. The record is from RefSeq and is a predicted model, not a curated record.
AUUUUAAGCAAGAAAAUCCACUACCCUGCAAAAAGUUCUUCCAACAAAUAUUUUUGUGUGUGCAGCUCAGAUCAAUCUUCCUAUUCAUUCAUUGCACGCUGUUAUUCUGCAGGACCGGCGAAGUGCAAGGUCAUGUACAAGGGAUAAGCUGGUCAAUGAAGGAAAUUCUAAAAGAAAGCGACUACAAGCAACAUUUGAAGUGAGCUGGGAGCCGGGGUCAUCCUUCUCACCACCAGUCGAACAUACUACUUCAGCCACCAUGUUGAGCGAUAUAAAAGUGUUCUCUAUUUCAGAGAGCAACAACACGAGAUUGUGCCCCCUCUUGCUCCAUGUGCAUGUUGCUGUAAUUAGUAUCACUAGAUUAAAUCAUGGACCAUGUCUCUGUUUCAUACCACCUCCGUUCAUAAAUAGAUAGCUUCCUAGAGAUUGUGCGGUCCUAAGGCCAUCCACACUAUUGCCCGUUAAAGCGUAUUGAGUGCAUCAAGCCUAAUUUUCUAUUGGACAGAUUUUGUUCUGUAAUCUAUUAGUGUUAGAACAAUACAAAUUUUCCUAUUUUGCAGAAACUAACUUAGUGCUUCCUUCUUUCGAGUUUGAAAUUCAGCAAUUCUUUUCCUUAAUCGCAAACUGAAUUGUUCGUCGUUGCUAUUUGGUUUCCCUUCUGUCUGGCAUAUUGAUGAUUUGAUCCGCAUUCAAGAAAGAAAUAUUCCAUGCAAGCCUCCAGCCUAAGUAAAGAAAUUUAUUUGCUUGCCAUUUGAAUAAAAAAAUUGAGCACGACAUUACAAAUGAGAAAAAAAUAUUUUUAUGCAGAUCCACGAUACUUCGCAAAAGAGUAUACAUCAACAUUGUCUGCUAGAAA